This 511-nucleotide long non-coding RNA is filed under the name Panicum hallii. Its description in RNAcentral is "long non-coding RNA (PHAL_LNC000417)". Lineage: Eukaryota; Viridiplantae; Streptophyta; Magnoliopsida; Poales; Poaceae. The record is from RNAcentral.
AGUUCUAUUUUUCAAAGAUUCCGAUCACUCAUUUUAUUUCUUUUUCUGGAAAAGGAGUAGUGCUCUUGGGAAGUUCCUAUUAAGUAAGUGUUCUUUGCUUUAUAUCAUAAGUUUAGCUCUUGUACGAAUGGAUCCACCUUUUCUUCUUGCUACUACUAGUUGUUGAACUUUCUUUAUUUCAAUGUAUUUGACUUCCGUUGUGUCACCUAGUCCUGAUGUGAUUCCUCUAGCUGCUUAGGAUACCCUAUUUUCUAAUGUUGCUUCUGUUGCUCCGGUUCCUGGCUCCUACUUUUUUAGGGUGAUGGCUCAUACAACGUGGCAUUGGUAGAGGGAAUCCUUUGAUUGUUCGAUUAGGAAACCCCGCCUAUUGAAGUCCCGCUCAACGAAGUCUCGGAACGUUGAUCUUUCCCGUCAAUGCCAUCUGCCCUCAUAUUUGAAUUAAGCUCAUCUCUACGAGGACCUAAAAGUAGGAAAGAAGCAACGUAUUUCUUUCUGACGAACCACACCAACC